RNAcentral lists this unclassified non-coding RNA (275 nucleotides) under Hevea brasiliensis (rubber tree). The record is from RNAcentral. Lineage: Eukaryota; Viridiplantae; Streptophyta; Magnoliopsida; Malpighiales; Euphorbiaceae.
GAAAUAGUUCUAAGCUGCUCAAAAACCUUUUAUAUUGAUUCAUUGCUGCCAUAAAUCAACAAUCAAUUGAAUUUUUGUUGCGCAUUCAGUAAUGCUUCCAGCCAUGGCCAAUUGGCAAUUCUUCUGGCUUAUUUUGAUGCUGAAAUUUCUAUUUUCUUAUUUCAAAACUCUGUUCCUGUGCAUAUGAAUUACGUAAUGCUAUUACCAAUCUUACCAUAACUAUGCUUUUCUCUUCUCUGUGAUUGUACUAUGCAGGUGGUCUUCCAUAAAACUGG